This is a non-coding RNA of Ceratotherium simum simum (southern white rhinoceros), 85 nucleotides long. Lineage: Eukaryota; Metazoa; Chordata; Mammalia; Perissodactyla; Rhinocerotidae. The record is from RefSeq and is a predicted model, not a curated record.
AAGUAUUGAUUUGGGGUUACAGAUAAAUUUUAGUGAGUAGGUAAAUUCACAAAUACAGAAUCUAUAACGAUUGACUGAAUCUUUU